CUGCGAAUGGCUCAUUAUAUAAGUUAUCGUUUAUUUGAUAGUACCUUACUACUUGGAUAACCGUGGUAAUUCUAGAGCUAAUACAUGCUGAAAAUCCCGACUCCGGAAGGGAUGUAUUUAUUAGAUUAAAAACCAAUGCCCUCUGGGCUCCUUGGUGAUUCAUAAUAACUUUUCGAAUCGCACGGCCUUGCGCCGGCGAUGGUUCAUUCAAAUUUCUUCCCUAUCAACUUUCGAUGUUUGGGUAUUGGCCAAACAUGGUCGCAACGGGUAACGGAGGGUUAGGGCUCGACCCCGGAGAAGGAGCCUGAGAAACGGCUACUACAUCCAAGGAAGGCAGCAGGCGCGCAAAUUACCCAAUCCCGAUUCGGGGAGGUAGUGACAAUAAAUACUGAUACAGGGCUCUUUUGGGUCUUGUAAUUGGAAUGAGUACAAUUUAAAUCUCUUAACGAGGAACAAUUGGAGGGCAAGUCUGGUGCCAGCAGCCGCGGUAAUUCCAGCUCCAAUAGCGUAUAUUAAAGUUGUUGUGGUUAAAAAGCUCGUAGUUGAACCUUGGGCCUGGCUGGCCGGUCCGCCUCACCGCGUGCACUGGUCCGGCCGGGCCUUUCCCUCUGUGGAACCCCAUGCUCUUCACUGAGUGUGGCGGGGAAACAGGACUUUUACUUUGAAAAAAUUAGAGUGCUCCAGGCAGGCCUAUGCUCGAAUACAUUAGCAUGGAAUAAUAAAAUAGGACGUGUGGUUCUAUUUUGUUGGUUUCUAGGACCGCCGUAAUGAUUAAUAGGGACAGUCGGGGGCAUCAGUAUUCAAUUGUCAGAGGUGAAAUUCUUGGAUUUAUUGAAGACUAACUACUGCGAAAGCAUUUGCCAAGGAUGUUUUCAUUAAUCAGGAACGAAAGUUAGGGGAUCGAAGACGAUCAGAUACCGU
RNAcentral lists this ribosomal RNA (921 nucleotides) under Cordyceps rosea. RNAcentral's name for it is "SSU rRNA". It matches the Rfam family "Eukaryotic small subunit ribosomal RNA", at positions 87 to 1018 of the family's 1831-position model. The record is from RNAcentral. Lineage: Eukaryota; Fungi; Ascomycota; Sordariomycetes; Hypocreales; Cordycipitaceae.